UAGGCUUUGGGUAUUAGAGGCGUCCCACGUCGCCGUCGGGUGGUUUCACUUAGCUCUAACUUGACUAACACCACCGCAGAGUGGUGGUGUGCUUGUGGUGGCUAGCUGUUUGGGUGGGUGGUUACACUAGCCGCUCACGGGUUUUAAUUAAUUUGGUGCAACAUUUUGCACUGGGCCGAGCCCAACAGCCCGACUUGGUCAAUGGGCGCAUAUAUCAAGACAAUCGGCUGAUUGGCAGCCGCAUACAUUACCCACAUCCAGGUGGCUGAGGAGUGGGGCUGGGACCCACCUGUCAGCGGUGCUUAUGAUUAACUGUCACUUGUAACUGGUUGUGAUGGAUUUAUUGCUGUCAAUUUGACAAAUCAAUGCAGCAGUUGGCCGUCCAUCGAAGGCGUUCAUUGGGGCGAUCAGUCCUCAACUGGCGACGACUUAAUUGGGAAAUCACCGAAGACUGGGACUUUGGGGGAGGCCAAGGGGAAUGCAGAUUAGGCCAGGUGAUGCGGCACAGGUGCAAUUCAAAGUAAACGCCUAAAUCAGGAAUUUUCAAUCAGUUUAUGCGACAAUUAAUCAGGCAAGCGUUCUCCUCAAACAAACCCAAAAUCUUGCAUUGAAUUUUGAGGCUCCGAUUUCUGCAGCAACUCCUUGUUAAAUUCCCUGGUUGAAAUGGAUGAAAUAGAGAGAGAAACUCGAGAUCGGAGGAGACCAGUUUGGACUUUACUACCGUCUGUCACCUGAUGGCAGGCAAAUAUUAAUUUACCGAUAUAUCUUUUGCCAGUGAUUUUGUUUUGCUGCACAGUUGGCUAAUGAAAUCGUAAGUGCUUUUAUCUCGUAAA
This 833-nucleotide small RNA is filed under the name Drosophila yakuba. RNAcentral describes it as "GE28640". Lineage: Eukaryota; Metazoa; Arthropoda; Insecta; Diptera; Drosophilidae. The record is from RNAcentral.